AACGAACGCUGGCGGCAUGCCUAACACAUGCAAGUCGAACGAGACCUUCGGGUCUAGUGGCGCACGGGUGCGUAACGCGUGGGAACCUGCCCUUAGGUUCGGAAUAACUCCCCGAAAGGGGUGCUAAUACCGGAUAAUGUCUCCGGACCAAAGAUUUAUCGCCUUUGGAUGGGCCCGCGUUGGCUUAGCUAGUUGGUAGGGUAAAAGCCUACCAAGGCGACGAUCCAUAGCUGGUCUGAGAGGCUGAUCAGCCACACUGGGACUGAGACACGGCCCAGACUCCUACGGGAGGCGGCAGUGGGGAAUAUUGGACAAUGGGCGAAAGCCUGAUCCAGCAAUGCCGCGUGAGUGAUGAAGGCCUUAGGGUUGUAAAGCUCUUUUACCCGGGAUGAUAAUGACAGUACCGGGAGAAUAAGCACCGGCUAACUCCGUG
RNAcentral lists this ribosomal RNA (433 nucleotides) under uncultured bacterium. Its description in RNAcentral is "partial 16S ribosomal RNA". It matches the Rfam family "Bacterial small subunit ribosomal RNA", at positions 29 to 507 of the family's 1533-position model. The record is from RNAcentral.